AUACGUAGGGGGCGAGCGUUGUCCGGAAUGACUGGGCGUAAAGGGCGUGUAGGCGGCCGAUUAAGUCUGGAGUGAAAGUCCUGCUUUCAAGGUGGGAAUUGCUUUGGAGACUGGUUGGCUUGAGUGCGGAAGAGGUAAGUGGAAUUCCCAGUGUAGCGGUGAAAUGCGUAGAGAUUGGGAGGAACACCAGUGGCGAAGGCGGCUUACUGGGCCGUAACUGACGCUGAGGCGCGAAAGCGUGGGGAGCGAACAGGAUUAGAUACCCUGGUAGGCCACGCGGUAAACGAUGAAUGCUAGGUGUAGGGGGUAUCGACCCCUCCUGUGCCGGAGUGAACACAAUAAGCAGUCCGCCUGGGGAGUACGGCCGCAAGGUUGAAACUUAAAUGAAUUGACGGGG
RNAcentral lists this ribosomal RNA (397 nucleotides) under uncultured bacterium. RNAcentral's name for it is "partial 16S ribosomal RNA". It matches the Rfam family "Bacterial small subunit ribosomal RNA", at positions 523 to 918 of the family's 1533-position model. The record is from RNAcentral.